ACGGACCAAGGAGUCUGACA
This 20-nucleotide small nuclear RNA is filed under the name Arabidopsis thaliana (thale cress). Its description in RNAcentral is "snRNA_02787". The record is from RNAcentral. Lineage: Eukaryota; Viridiplantae; Streptophyta; Magnoliopsida; Brassicales; Brassicaceae.